This 1522-nucleotide ribosomal RNA is filed under the name metagenome. Its description in RNAcentral is "bacterial SSU rRNA". It matches the Rfam family "Bacterial small subunit ribosomal RNA". The record is from RNAcentral.
AGAGUUUGAUCAUGGCUCAGAUUGAACGCUGGCGGCAGGCCUAACACAUGCAAGUCGAACGGUAACAGGAAGAAGCUUGCUUCUUUGCUGACGAGUGGCGGACGGGUGAGUAAUGUCUGGGAAACUGCCUGAUGGAGGGGGAUAACUACUGGAAACGGUAGCUAAUACCGCAUAACGUCGCAAGACCAAAGAGGGGGACCUUCGGGCCUCUCGCCAUCGGAUGUGCCCAGAUGGGAUUAGCUAGUAGGUGGGGUAACGGCUCACCUAGGCGACGAUCCCUAGCUGGUCUGAGAGGAUGACCAGCCACACUGGAACUGAGACACGGUCCAGACUCCUACGGGAGGCAGCAGUGGGGAAUAUUGCACAAUGGGCGCAAGCCUGAUGCAGCCAUGCCGCGUGUAUGAAGAAGGCCUUCGGGUUGUAAAGUACUUUCAGCGGGGAGGAAGGGAGUAAAGUUAAUACCUUUGCCCAUUGACGUUACCCGCAGAAGAAGCACCGGCUAACUCCGUGCCAGCAGCCGCGGUAAUACGGACGGUGCAAGCGUUAAUCGGAAUUACUGGGCGUAAAGCGCACGCAGGCGGUUUGUUAAGUCAGAUGUGAAAUCCCCGGGCUCAACCUGGGAACUGCAUCUGAUACUGGCAAGCUUGAGUCUCGUAGAGGGGGGUAGAAUUCCAGGUGUAGCGGUGAAAUGCGUAGAGAUCUGGAGGAAUACCGGUGGCGAAGGCGGCCCCCUGGACGAAGACUGACGCUCAGGUGCGAAAGCGUGGGGAGCAAACAGGAUUAGAUACCCUGGUAGUCCACGCCGUAAACGAUGUCGACUUGGAGGUUGUGCCCUUGAGGCGUGGCUUCCGGAGCUAACGCGUUAAGUCGACCGCCUGGGGAGUACGGCCGCAAGGUUAAAACUCAAAUGAAUUGACGGGGGCCCGCACAAGCGGUGGAGCAUGUGGUUUAAUUCGAUGCAACGCGAAGAACCUUACCUGGUCUUGACAUCCACGGAAGUUUUCAGAGAUGAGAAUGUGCCUUCGGGAACCGUAAGACAGGUGCUGCAUGGCUGUCGUCAGCUCGUGUUGUGAAAUGUUGGGUUAAGUCCCGCAACGAGCGCAACCCUUAUCCUUUGUUGCCAGCGGUCCGGCCGGGAACUCAAAGGAGACUGCCAGUGAUAAACUGGAGGAAGGUGGGGAUGACGUCAAGUCAUCAUGGCCCUUACGACCAGGGCUACACACGUGCUACAAUGGCGCAUACAAAGAGAAGCGACCUCGCGAGAGCAAGCGGACCUCAUAAAGUGCGUCGUAGUCCGGAUUGGAGUCUGCAACUCGACUCCAUGAAGUCGGAAUCGCUAGUAAUCGUGGAUCAGAAUGCCACGGUGAAUACGUUCCCGGGCCUUGUACACACCGCCCGUCACACCAUGGGAGUGGGUUGCAAAAGAAGUAGGUAGCUUAACCUUCGGGAGGGCGCUUACCACUUUGUGAUUCAUGACUGGGGUGAAGUCGGAACAAGGUAACCGUAGGGGAACCUGCGGUUG